AGUUUAAUGUGACAGAUUAAGUAUCUAACUUAAUGAUGAGAUUCUGUGUGAUCAUAAAUGUUAGAGGCAAAUUCACUGUAACGUUGACAGGCAGCAAACCAGUGUGUAAUUCUUAAAACAUACACAGCUUUUGUAGUCUUACAGCCAGACCACAUGGACCAAAUCUCCCAGACGACACAAGUCUGCAAAAUGAAACCAAAACAAGAUAUCUGCUUUGCAAAGAUUAGUGAGAAAAUCUGUUUUAUUUCAAUUUCGGGUGAACCGAGCCUAAUUACAUUUUAAGAAUGAAUCUGCCCUCCUCAGAAAAACGGCAGCCAAAAACACACUUUAAUAAUAAUUCUCUGCUGGAGUGAGAAAAUGCAUUGUACUCCCUAAACGCAGUAUAUUUCAUAUUCGACCAUUUGUGAGCGCUGGUGUCAAGGAAGGUCAUCCUUUAACAGCAAAUCCUUGAUGCUCACUUUAACUGACACGCGCUCACAGCAGGACCUGUUGUGGGUUUUCCUUUUCAAUUGCACCUGCUGGUUUUCCGUGCCUGCGUGUCUUUAGUUGCCUGAGUAGUUCCAAAGCACAAUGUCUAAUGCCGGUGUUAUUCCUCGCUCAUACAAGUGUACCAUCAUGGCGCUAAAUGAGCUGCAGCGAGUGAUAUGAAAGAGCACACAGUAAUUUACUGAUGGCUGCUAAUGAAACAUGAGGCCGGUGCUGCGUGUUUUCUCACUCUUGCCGAGAGGAAACGCUGCCGCCGGGAAAGCUACGCCGGCUUGCGGAGCACUGUCACGCCGCCUCGCGACACACGCAGGAUUAUCAGAGAAAAACAAAUGGAGGCAGUGAUUCACUAGUUGUUUAUUUACAGCCCUCUCCGGAGAAGAAAUAAAUUCCCCUGUUGAGGCUUUGUUUCCCCAUCAUACGACGCGACGGGACGCAUGAGAAGAGAGAUUCACGCACUGUGUAACUAUGAAUAUCUUCAGCAUAAACUCAUCAGACCGGCAGCGUUGAUUUGUGAAACCAUCUCGGGCAACUGGCCGCCGAUGCUACUUGUUCAGUCGGACAAAAAGCCACCAGCAAAGGACGACAAGUGCUAACGGGAUACACUGCAAAAAAACAGAACCAGGUAACAGGUAACAUCAUAG
Long non-coding RNA from Acanthopagrus latus (yellowfin seabream), 1127 nucleotides. RefSeq lists it as uncharacterized. The transcript has 3 exons. NCBI's taxonomy places the organism in Eukaryota, Metazoa, Chordata, Actinopteri, Spariformes, Sparidae. The record is from RefSeq and is a predicted model, not a curated record.